GACGAACGCUGGCGGCGUGCCUAAUACAUGCAAGUCGAACGAGAGCGACCGGUGCUUGCACUGGUCAAUCUAGUGGCGAACGGGUGAGUAACACGUGGGUAACCUGCCCAUCAGAGGGGGAUAACAUUCGGAAACGGAUGCUAAAACCGCAUAGGUCUUCGAACCGCAUGGUUUGAAGAGGAAAAGAGGCGCAAGCUUCUGCUGAUGGAUGGACCCGCGGUGCAUUAGCUAGUUGGUGAGGUAACGGCUCACCAAGGCCGUGAUGCAUAGCCGACCUGAGAGGGUGAUCGGCCACAUUGGGACUGAGACACGGCCCAAACUCCUACGGGAGGCAGCAGUAGGGAAUCUUCCGCAAUGGACGCAAGUCUGACGGAGCAACGCCGCGUGAGUGAAGAAGGUUUUCGGAUCGUAAAACUCUGUUGUUAGAGAAGAACAAGUGCUAGAGUAACUGUUAGCGCCUUGACGGUAUCUAACCAGAAAGCCACGGCUAACUACGUGCCAGCAGCCGCGGUAAUACGUAGGUGGCAAGCGUUGUCCGGAUUUAUUGGGCGUAAAGCGAGCGCAGGCGGUUCCUUAAGUCUGAUGUGAAAUCCCCCGGCUCAACCGGGGAGGGUCAUUGGAAACUGGGGAACUUGAGUGCAGAAGAGGAGAGUGGAAUUCCAUGUGUAGCGGUGAAAUGCGUAGAUAUAUGGAGGAACACCAGUGGCGAAGGCGACUCUCUGGUCUGUAACUGACGCUGAGGCUCGAAAGCGUGGGUAGCAAACAGG
This 767-nucleotide ribosomal RNA is filed under the name uncultured Granulicatella sp. RNAcentral describes it as "bacterial SSU rRNA". It matches the Rfam family "Bacterial small subunit ribosomal RNA", at positions 28 to 776 of the family's 1533-position model. Lineage: Bacteria; Bacillati; Bacillota; Bacilli; Lactobacillales; Carnobacteriaceae. The record is from RNAcentral.